AGUCGAACGGUAACAGGAAGMAGCUUGCUKCUUUGCUGACGAGUGGCGGACGGGUGAGUAAUGUCUGGGAAACUGCCUGAUGGAGGGGGAUAACUACUGGAAACGGUAGCUAAUACCGCAUAACGUCGCAAGACCAAAGAGGGGGACCUUCGGGCCUCUUGCCAUCGGAUGUGCCCAGAUGGGAUUAGCUAGUAGGUGGGGUAACGGCUCACCUAGGCGACGAUCCCUAGCUGGUCUGAGAGGAUGACCAGCCACACUGGAACUGAGACACGGUCCAGACUAAUACGGGAGGCAGCAGUGGGGAAUAUUGCACAAUGGGCGCAAGCCUGAUGCAGCCAUGCCGCGUGUAUGAAGAAGGCCUUCGGGUUGUAAAGUACUUUCAGCGGGGAGGAAGGGAGUAAAGUUAAUACCUUUGCUCAUUGACGUUACCCGCAGAAGAAGCACCGGCUAACUCCGUGCCAGCAGCCGCGGUAAUACGGAGGGUGCAAGCGUUAAUCGGAAUUACUGGGCGUAAAGCGCACGCAGGCGGUUUGUUAAGUCAGAUGUGAAAUCCCCGGGCUCAACCUGGGAACUGCAUCUGAUACUGGCAAGCUUGAGUCUCGUAGAGGGGGGUAGAAUUCCAGGUGUAGCGGUGAAAUGCGUAGAGAUCUGGAGGAAUACCGGUGGCGAAGGCGGCCCCCUGGACGAAGACUGACGCUCAGGUGCGAAAGCGUGGGGAGCAAACAGGAUUAGAUACCCUGGUAGUCCACGCCGUAAACGAUGUCGACUUGGAGGUUGUGCCCUUGAGGCGUGGCUUCCGGAGCUAACGCGUUAAGUCGACCGCCUGGGGAGUACGGCCGCAAGGUUAAAACUCAAAUGAAUUGACGGGGGCCCGCACAAGCGGUGGAGCAUGUGGUUUAAUUCGAUGCAACGCGAAGAACCUUACCUGGUCUUGACAUCCACGGAAGUUUUCAGAGAUGAGAAUGUGCCUUCGGGAACCGUGAGACAGGUGCUGCAUGGCUGUCGUCAGCUCGUGUUGUGAAAUGUUGGGUUAAGUCCCGCAACGAGCGCAACCCUUAUCCUUUGUUGCCAGCGGUCCGGCCGGGAACUCAAAGGAGACUGCCAGUGAUAAACUGGAGGAA
RNAcentral lists this ribosomal RNA (1121 nucleotides) under Escherichia coli. Its description in RNAcentral is "bacterial SSU rRNA". It matches the Rfam family "Bacterial small subunit ribosomal RNA", at positions 60 to 1171 of the family's 1533-position model. Lineage: Bacteria; Pseudomonadati; Pseudomonadota; Gammaproteobacteria; Enterobacterales; Enterobacteriaceae. The record is from RNAcentral.